Molecule: ribosomal RNA, 774 nt
Filed under: uncultured Neocallimastigales
Lineage: Eukaryota; Fungi; Neocallimastigomycota; Neocallimastigomycetes; Neocallimastigales
Description: partial large subunit ribosomal RNA
Rfam family: Eukaryotic large subunit ribosomal RNA
Source: RNAcentral
UAUGUGAUCGUCUCUCGCAUAUCAAUAAGCGGAGGAAAAGAAACUAACAAGGAUUCCCCUAGUAACGGCGAGUGAAGCGGGAAGAGCUCAAAUUUGAAAUCUUAAAGGGUUUCCCUUUACGAAUUGUAGUUUAAAGAAGUGUUUUCUGUUGAGGUUUUGGUAAAAGUUCUUUGGAAUAGGACAUCAUAGAGGGUGAGAAUCCCGUAUUUGACCUUUACUUUCAACUUUGUGAUACACUUUCAAAGAGUCGGAUUGUUUGGGAAUGCAGUUCAAAAUGGGUGGUAAAUUUCAUCUAAAGCUAAAUAUUGGCGAGAGACCGAUAGCGAACAAGUACCGUGAGGGAAAGAUGAAAAGAACUUUGAAAAGAGAGUUAAACAGUACGUGAAAUUGUCAAAAGGGAAGCGUUUGACACCAGUGUUGUUUUUCUGAAAAUCAAUUAAAGAACUGUUUAUGCUAAGCUGUUUAGACUUUAUCAGCUAUCUGUUUAGUUUUGAGCUUUUCUUUAAUGCACUUUUCAGUUAACAAGUCAACAUCAAUUUCUUUUGCUGUAAAAAAGCUUGAGGAAGGUGGCUUGAGAUUCGUCUUAAGUGUUUAUAGCCUCUUGCCUAUGCAGUCGGAGAGAUUGAGGUCUGCAGCGUAGAUCCUUCGGGGCUAAAUGCAUUUGUGCUAAGUUAUAGCAUUUUAUAGACAACUUGUUGACUAUGAUUUGUCUUGUAGCUUACUCGCUUAUGUUAUUUUACCUACGCUUAGGAUGUUGAGCGCAUGUCUCUCUCU